RNAcentral lists this ribosomal RNA (329 nucleotides) under uncultured eukaryote. RNAcentral's name for it is "partial 18S ribosomal RNA". It matches the Rfam family "Eukaryotic small subunit ribosomal RNA", at positions 1470 to 1796 of the family's 1831-position model. The record is from RNAcentral.
CCCUUAGAUGUUCUGGGCCGCACGCGCGCUACAAUGAUGAAUUCAACGAGUUUAUAACCUUGGUUGAAAAGCCUGGGUAAUCUUUUGAACUUUCGUCGUGAUGGGGCUAGACCCUUGCAAUUAUUGGUCUCCAACGAGGAAUUCCUAGUAAACGCAAGUCAUCAGCUUGCAUUGAUUACGUCCCUGCCCUUUGUACACACCGCCCGUCGCACCUACCGAUUGAAUGGUCCGGUGAAAUCUUCGGAUUGAGACUUUGAUUUCUUCACGGAAAACGCUGUUUUAAAAAGUUGAUUAAACCUCAUCAUUUAGAGGAAGGUGAAGUCGUAACA